GUGAAUCAUCGAAUCUUUGAACGCAAAUUGCACUCUUUGGUAUUCCGGAGAGCAUGCCUGUUUGAGGGUCAGUUUAAAUACAAACCGAGGUGUUGCUGUUUUGUGAACCAUCGGAUUUGGGUUAUCUUUGACCUUUUAAAAAGUUUAAGUGACCUAAAAUUGAUACCUUGUGCAUCUCAGACGUACAUAAGAAUAUUUUUUUAUUAGUCCGGAGUUGCAAACUUUCUAUUAGGUAUGACCAUGUUGUUUGUGG
This 253-nucleotide unclassified non-coding RNA is filed under the name Glomeraceae sp. RNAcentral describes it as "partial contains 5.8S ribosomal RNA and internal transcribed spacer 2". The stretch from base 1 to 71 matches the Rfam family "5.8S ribosomal RNA", at positions 84 to 154 of the family's 154-position model. The record is from RNAcentral. Lineage: Eukaryota; Fungi; Glomeromycota; Glomeromycetes; Glomerales; Glomeraceae.